AGCCUUGUAGUUUAUAAAAAUAUUAAGUUGCAGCCUUAAAGAAGAGAUUACUCCUAGGCUU
This 61-nucleotide transfer RNA is filed under the name Macoma balthica. Its description in RNAcentral is "Limecola balthica tRNA-Cys". Lineage: Eukaryota; Metazoa; Mollusca; Bivalvia; Cardiida; Tellinidae. The record is from RNAcentral.